This 1945-nucleotide long non-coding RNA is filed under the name Bemisia tabaci. RNAcentral describes it as "lncRNA ENSSSA1NGG000289". The record is from RNAcentral. Lineage: Eukaryota; Metazoa; Arthropoda; Insecta; Hemiptera; Aleyrodidae.
UGAUCAGAAAAGCUAUGAUGUCGCCAUUAACGGAAUUUCCCGAUGGCGCCAUCUUGGCUUUCCCGAUGACGUUUUCUGAUUGGCUAAUUCAUCCAGGGAUUAGUAUUCAGAAAGCGCCGAACACACAAAAAUCGGCUUCGCUUUUUGUAUACAGUAAGAUUAAAAGGACGUUUUUCUAUCAAACGGAACUAAGCGCCAUCGGGGGGGGGGGGCAUCGCGAGAGGGGGGGGGCUUGGAUUGGCGGGUGUUGCCGAACGCGAUGCUCGUUCCGCAACACCCAUGCUGCCGUGCUAAGGAGGAACGCCGUAUGAACAUUCGAGAGUUGCCAAAUUUCCUUCGAAAAAAUGUUCAUUUUUGAUGAAAGUUAUGAAUAUUUUCCUUUAAAAUUUCAGAAUCUUUAGGUAAAAUUGUGAACUAAAUUAUCUGAAAAAUUGGGAGGAAAAUAUUCAUAAAUUUAUCAGGAAAAUUGCGUUUUAUAAAAGGAAAUUCGGCAACGCCUGAAGGUUUAUACGGCAUUUUUCCUUAGCAUGGCAGCAUGGCGCUUAGUUCCAUGGCGUUAUCCAUGGCGCUUAGUUCUGUUUGAUAGAACGCGGUAUCCGGGAUUCUAAAAUCCUCAAAAUGAACGCAAUUUGGCGCUUCGUUCCGUUUAACAGAAAUACGUCCAAGCUUAAAAAAAAAAAAAAAAAAAAAAAACGUUUUUUUGAACAUCCUCGAAAAAUUGUAGGGUAUUUUGUGCUUCGUUCCAAAUCAUCGGCAUUACCUCGGGUCGAAAUCAUGAAGUUAUUUCUACCACCGAAGCCGCCAAAACCACCGUGGCCACCACCGAAACCGCCCCCGUAGCCACUGCUGAAGCCACCAUUGAAGGGAACGUUGUAUCCAACCCCAAAACUACCACUAAAACCCCUGUUUAAGCCAUUCUUGAAGCCACUGGCGGGGUUAAAGCUGGAGAAGAUCCCCGCGUUCGACCCAAGCAUGCCUGGAGAUGUUUCGUAACUGUCUUCAACAUACGACCUGGAGGGUGCGUAAUCGUCACUUGGGUCAUCCCAACCUCGAGUUGGAGUCCGCGAUCCUCCAGUUCGCCUCGGCGACCCUGCAGUCGGUGUCCGCGACCCUGCAAGUCGGCUCGAUCCUCCAAUCGGGGUCCUGGAUCCCCGACUUGGAGGAGUCGGAGGGCCCAUGUCGUCUUCGUAUUCGUCGUCGUCAUCCCAUUGUGGGAGCCGCGACUUUUGAAUUCUCGCGAAAGGGUCAGCAUCCCACGGCUCAUCCGCCUCCAGUUGGUCCGCCUCCAUGUCCAUGUCACCCAUGUCUCCCAUGCGGCUGAAGCCACUGCCGCUGUAAGAACUGAAACUGUCCGAGUCCGAGUCCGAGUCCGAGUCGGCGUCGUUGUAUUCGUAAGAGUCGGCGGGGGCUGAAAAUUGAAAAAAAGGUCAACACAUUUCCGUAACGUGCUCUAUGGACAAAGAUACGGAACUCCCUUCUAAGGUUGCGAAGUUGAAAAAAAAAGUUGACAAAUUCCUCCAUUUGUCGUUUCCCGGACGAAGAUAUGGAACUCCAUUCUGAGGUUGCGAAGUUAAAACAGAAGUUAACGAAUUCCUCUGUUUGUCGUUUCCCGAAAAAAGAUACGGAACUCCCUUCUAAGGUUGCAAAGUUGAAAUAAAAAGUUAACGAAUUCCUCCAUUUGCCGUUUCCCGGACGAAGAUACGGGACUCCAUUUUGAGGUUGCGAAGUUAAAAGAGAAGUUAACGAAUUCCUCUGUUUGUCGUUUCCCGGAAAGAGAUACGGGACUCCCUUCUCCGGUUGCGAAGUUGAAAAAAAAGUUAACGAAUUCCUCUGUUUGUCGUUUCCCGGACGAAGAUACGAGACUCCAUUCUGAGGUUGCGAAGUUAAAAGAGAAGUUAACGAAUUCCUCUGUUUGUCGUUUCCCGGAAAAAGAUACGGAGCUCCG